GGUAUAUCAUAAAAUCAAAUACAGUCUAUGAGUGCUGUCCAGGAUGGAAGUCUUCUAACAACAUUGACUGCAACUUAGCCAUCUGUUACGGCAAGGACAACACUAACGGAGCCUGUAACCAGAGAGGAAGCUGCGUUGCACCAAACAGGUGUUCCUGUCACACUGGAUAUACUGGAUCACAAUGUGAAAAAUGUCUUGAUGCUCGUGCAGAUCCUGAACAUUUCAUCUGGUGGCACACCAACAGCCAUCCGGACUGCGCUCUGACCUGUUCGUGGAAGAACCAAUGGUGUUGGCCUGGGGACUGCCCAGACAGAAGAUUGAGGACAUCCUGUAAAUGUCGGAACGGCUUUGUGAAGCAUGAUGGAGGUUCCAGAUACACAAAGUGUGACCUUGUUGAGAAGCCCCAACUUCUAACGUGCCACAUUGGGAUGACGGAUGCACAUCACAGCGUGAGAAGCUCCACACAUGGCUCUCACUCUGGAUGCCAGUAUGAAUCGGACACAUAUGUUAACUUGAAUCCCAU
Molecule: unclassified non-coding RNA, 523 nt
Filed under: Haliotis rufescens (red abalone)
Lineage: Eukaryota; Metazoa; Mollusca; Gastropoda; Lepetellida; Haliotidae
Description: protein disulfide isomerase crld-1-like, transcript variant X2
Source: RNAcentral